UACAGAGGGUGCAAGCGUUAAUCGGAAUUACUGGGCGUAAAGCGCACGUAGGCGGCUUCUUAAGUCGGUGGUGAAAUCCUGGAGCUCAACUCCAGAACUGCCUCGAUACUGGGAAGCUCGAGUCCGGGAGAGGUGAGUGGAACUGCGGAGUGUAGAGGUGGAAUUCGUAGAUAUUAGGAAGAACACCAGUGGCGAAGGCGGCUCACUGGUCCGGUACUGACGCUGAGGUGCGAAAGCGUGGGGAGCAAACAGGG
RNAcentral lists this ribosomal RNA (254 nucleotides) under uncultured bacterium. RNAcentral describes it as "partial 16S ribosomal RNA". It matches the Rfam family "Bacterial small subunit ribosomal RNA", at positions 524 to 777 of the family's 1533-position model. The record is from RNAcentral.